UACGUAGGGUGCAAGCGUUGUCCGGAAUUAUUGGGCGUAAAGAGCUCGUAGGCGGUUUGUCGCGUCUGGUGUGAAAAUCCAGGGCUUAACCCUGGACCUGCAUCGGGUACGGGCAGACUAGAGUGCGGUAGGGGAGAUCGGAAUUCCUGGUGUAGCGGUGAAAUGCGCAGAUAUCAGGAGGAACACCGGUGGCGAAGGCGGAUCUCUGGGCCGUAACUGACGCUGAGGAGCGAAAGCGUGGGUAGCAAACAGG
Molecule: ribosomal RNA, 253 nt
Filed under: uncultured bacterium
Lineage: Bacteria
Description: partial 16S ribosomal RNA
Rfam family: Bacterial small subunit ribosomal RNA
Source: RNAcentral